Schizosaccharomyces japonicus yFS275 is the source of this 71-nucleotide transfer RNA. It matches the Rfam family "tRNA". From Rfam's summary of the family: Transfer RNA (tRNA) molecules are approximately 80 nucleotides in length. Their secondary structure includes four short double-helical elements and three loops (D, anti-codon, and T loops). NCBI's taxonomy places the organism in Eukaryota, Fungi, Ascomycota, Schizosaccharomycetes, Schizosaccharomycetales, Schizosaccharomycetaceae. The record is from Rfam.
GGUUGUAUGGUGUAACGGUUAGCACGCGAGAUUCUGAUUCUCGAGACCUGGGUUCGAUCCCAGUACGACCU